GACGAACGCUGGCGGCGUGCUUAACACAUGCAAGUCGAACGGAAAGGCCCUGCUUUUGUGGGGUGCUCGAGUGGCGAACGGGUGAGUAACACGUGAGUAACCUGCCCUUGACUUUGGGAUAACUUCAGGAAACUGGGGCUAAUACCGGAUAGGAGCUCCUGCUGCAUGGUGGGGGUUGGAAAGUUUCGGCGGUUGGGGAUGGACUCGCGGCUUAUCAGCUUGUUGGUGGGGUAGUGGCUUACCAAGGCUUUGACGGGUAGCCGGCCUGAAAGGGUGACCGGGCACAUUGGGACUGAGAUACGGCCCAGACUCCGACGGGAGGCAGCAGUGGGGAAUAUUGCACAAUGGGCGGAAGCCUGAUGCAGCAACGCCGCGUGCGGGAUGACGGCCUUCGGGUUGGAAACCGCUUUCGCCUGUGACGAAGCGUGAGUGACGGUAAUGGGUAAAGAAGCACCGGCUAACUACGUG
Molecule: ribosomal RNA, 468 nt
Filed under: uncultured bacterium
Lineage: Bacteria
Description: partial 16S ribosomal RNA
Rfam family: Bacterial small subunit ribosomal RNA
Source: RNAcentral